UUUUCCUCUGAAUUCCACAUAGAACAUGCACUGCACAAUUUUAUCGUAAAAUACCUGCUUUUUACACACAUUUUAGGAUAAGCUAUGGAGGCGGCAGUUUUAAUAAGCAAGGAAACUUACAUAGGAGGCUUAACACAGGAGGCUGCAAGACGAGUGCACCUCUGCACUCCCUCGCCAAAAUGUUAAGAGUUUAUACAGAAGCCUUACCUGGGUUCUCUCACAUGUAUUGUACAGAUAGUCUCAACAACACUUUGCUCUCUCAAGGUUGCAUCUUUGAAAUGGCUCCGGCUACGGGAACCAUGAGCGGAACAUAUAUUCCAAGUCCAGGACAGGAGGUGAGGAGCCUCUAACUGCGUGGUCCCGCCCGCGGGUCAACUGGCGGUCAGAUCCUCUUGACGACCUUCUCCAGCAAUACCUCCGUCGUCAUUCUCUCAGAGCCACAUUUAAACUACUCAAAAUUCCAUCUGGAAUUCAAGACCUCACAGGAAAAUGAAACAUGAAGUGCCAACAUUUUGCUUUACAAAGCUUUUACGAAAGUCCCUGGUUUUGAAUCUGCAAAGAAAUCAUAGUAGAAAGUUAUACUUCUAAGGAUCUCCAAUACCUGACAUCCUGCAUAUCCAAAUUUCCAACUUCCAUACAGAUCUGAAGCUGCAGACAUGGGAUAUCCAAUGCUACUGACCCCUAUGUCAGUAACAGCCAGAUAAGAAAAUGGAAGAACACAAAGCUGAGGGAAUUUGCUCACUGUUGCAUAGAUACUAAAGGAUGAAAUCCAAAGUGCAAGAGUUUUCCAAUACAGCAUUCUGGGAAUGAGUUGAAUUUCCACCUUGUCUUCAACAACAAUACAGUCUGCUCUCUUUUUUUACAACUUUCAUUUUCUUUCCAGGACCUUAAUUAGAUUUCCAGGAUCUUAAUUAGAUUCCACCACCAAAGACAAGACGACACAGAGGAUGUGUGAGAAUAGUAAAUGACCUAAAAAUACUUUUAUGCCAUGGUACACACUCUUCCCCAAUAAAGCCUUAAUUUGACAAUGUAA
Herpailurus yagouaroundi (jaguarundi) is the source of this 1033-nucleotide long non-coding RNA. RefSeq lists it as uncharacterized. The record is from RefSeq and is a predicted model, not a curated record. Lineage: Eukaryota; Metazoa; Chordata; Mammalia; Carnivora; Felidae. The transcript has 5 exons.